UGGGGAAUAUUGCACAAUGGGCGCAAGCCUGAUGCAGCCAUGCCGCGUGUAUGAAGAAGGCCUUCGGGUUGUAAAGUACCUUCAGCGGGGAGGAAGGGAGUAAAGUUAAUACCUUUGCUCAUUGACGUUACCCGCAGAAGAAGCACCGGCUAACUCCGUGCCAGCAGCCGCGGUAAUACGGAGGGUGCAAGCGUUAAUCGGAAUUACUGGGCGUAAAGCGCACGCAGGCGGUUUGUUAAGUCAGAUGUGAAAUCCCCGGGCUCAACCUGGGAACUGCAUCUGAUACUGGCAAGCUUGAGUCUCGUAGAGGGGGGUAGAAUUCCAGGUGUAGCGGUGAAAUGCGUAGAGAGCUGGAGGAAUACCGGUGGCGAAGGCGGCCCCCUGGACGAAGACUGACGCUCAGGUGCGAAAGCGUGGGGAGCAAACAGG
Molecule: ribosomal RNA, 429 nt
Filed under: Chloroflexota bacterium
Lineage: Bacteria; Bacillati; Chloroflexota
Description: Chloroflexi bacterium partial 16S ribosomal RNA
Rfam family: Bacterial small subunit ribosomal RNA
Source: RNAcentral